GGCAAGUAGUGUGGUGCCCUGAGGCCUGAGGCCAGGCUCCAGGACCGCUCAAGGAACAGGGGAUUUGAGGCAACUCAGAGAGGACAGGCCCAGCAGCCGGCCCCAGCCUGAUAUCUUCCCUCCGCUCAGGCCCCAGACGCAGCUGCAUCCUGGAGUCCUUCUGAGAAAUGUGGGACCUGCCCCAGCUCCACCCCAGGGGCAGCGAGGGAGGCGUUGGAUGGAGCCACCCCACGGCUCCUCUGUGAAGGUCUGCACGUCACUCAGAAAGUUGAAGCAAACCAAGCAGGGUUGGAGCCCACAGUUCACAGCCGGCUGCACAGGGUAUGCACCAAGCACAGUCUCCUAUGACAAGUGGAAACCUGUGCGCCACAGCAAAACUCCGUCACCACAGCAGCAGAUGGCUCCGAAGAAGUGGAGCGUUUUCAUCAGGUUCAACUUUGAAACCUCCACCACCACCAUCACCAGCACCGCUGUGUCGUGCUGAUAACUUGAGGACAGGCAGGACCAGGUAUGUUUGUUGGAGGUGAACACGCUUCCUUGUCUUGAGAGUCUUGAGUGGCCCGUCCCCUUCCAGGCCCUCGGCUGGCAGGCAGCUGUCGGGAAGCUGUCAGGCGGGAGGGGAUUGGGGGUCAGGCUUCCUGACAAGUGGAGGCACCCGCCACGUGCCCAGAGCAGAGGUCACCCCAGUGCCUUUCUCUGUGGACUUAUCCCUGGCUGUAGGUCACAGGGGCCUGCCCCACUGCCCCCUCCCCAGUGGUGACAUGGGAGGAGGGGAGAUUAAUCCAGAGCAGCAGAUAAACCGGAGGGAAGAGCCCCCAGGAGGACAACUGUGACACAUUGUGCUGCCUCUGCGUCCCCA
Gorilla gorilla gorilla (western lowland gorilla) is the source of this 859-nucleotide long non-coding RNA. RefSeq lists it as uncharacterized. The record is from RefSeq and is a predicted model, not a curated record. The transcript has 3 exons. Lineage: Eukaryota; Metazoa; Chordata; Mammalia; Primates; Hominidae.